UUAAAUUGAAGAGUUUGAUCAUGGCUCAGAUUGAACGCUGGCGGCAGGCCUAACACAUGCAAGUCGAACGGUAACAGGAAGCAGCUUGCUGCUUUGCUGACGAGUGGCGGACGGGUGAGUAAUGUCUGGGAAACUGCCCGAUGGAGGGGGAUAACUACUGGAAACGGUAGCUAAUACCGCAUAACGUCGCAAGACCAAAGAGGGGGACCUUAGGGCCUCUUGCCAUCGGAUGUGCCAGAUGGGAUUAGCUAGUAGGUGGGGUAACGGCUCACCUAGGCGACGAUCCCUAGCUGGUCUGAGAGGAUGACCAGNCACACUGGAACUGAGACACGGUCCAGACUCCUACGGGAGGCAGCAGUGGGGAAUAUUGCACAAUGGGCGCAAGCCUGAUGCAGCCAUGCCGCGUGUAUGAAGAAGGCCUUCGGGUUGUAAAGUACUUUCNGCNGGGAGGAAGGGAGUAAAGUUAAUACCUUUGCUCAUUGACGUUACCCGCAGAAGAAGCACCGGCUAACUCCGUGCCAGCAGCCGCGGUAAUACGGAGGGUGCAAGCGUUAAUCGGAAUUACUGGGCGUAAAGCGCACGCAGGCGGUUUGUUAAGUCAGAUGUGAAAUCCCCGGGCUCAACCUGGGAACUGCAUCUGAUACUGGCAAGCUUGAGUCUCGUAGAGGGGGGUAGAAUUCCAGGUGUAGCGGUGAAAUGCGUAGAGAUCUGGAGGAAUACCGGUGGCGAAGGCGGCCCCCUGGACGAAGACUGACGCUCAGGUGCGAAAGCGUGGGGAGCAAACAGGAUUAGAUACCCUGGUAGUCCACGCCGUAAACGAUGUCGACUUGGAGGUUGUGCCCUUGAGGCGUGGCUUCCGGAGCUAACGCGUUAAGUCGACCGCCUGGGGAGUACGGCCGCAAGGUUAAAACUCAAAUGAAUUGACGGGGGCCCGCACAAGCGGUGGAGCAUGUGGUUUAAUUCGAUGCAACGCGAAGAACCUUACCUGGUCUUGACAUCCACGGAAGUUUUCAGAGAUGAGAAUGUGCCUUCGGGAACCGUGAGACAGGUGCUGCAUGGCUGUCGUCAGCUCGUGUUGUGAAAUGUUGGGUUAAGUCCCGCAACGAGCGCAACCCUUAUCCUUUGUUGCCAGCGGUCCGGCCGGGAACUCAAAGGAGACUGCCAGUGAUAAACUGGAGGAAGGUGGGGAUGACGUCAAGUCAUCAUGGCCCUUACGACCAGGGCUACACACGUGCUACAAUGGCGCAUACAAAGAGAAGCGACCUCGCGAGAGCAAGCGGACCUCAUAAAGUGCGUCGUAGUCCGGAUUGGAGUCUGCAACUCGACUCCAUGAAGUCGGAAUCGCUAGUAAUCGUGGAUCAGAAUGCCACGGUGAAUACGUUCCCGGGCCUUGUACACACCGCCCGUCACACCAUGGGAGUGGGUUGCAAAAGAAGUAGGUAGCUUAACCUUCGGGAGGGCGCUUACCACUUUGUGAUUCAUGACUGGGGUGAAGUCGUAACAAGGUAACCGUAGGGGAACCUGCGGUUGGAUCACCUCCUUACCUUAAAGAAGC
Molecule: ribosomal RNA, 1555 nt
Filed under: Escherichia coli
Lineage: Bacteria; Pseudomonadati; Pseudomonadota; Gammaproteobacteria; Enterobacterales; Enterobacteriaceae
Description: bacterial SSU rRNA
Rfam family: Bacterial small subunit ribosomal RNA
Source: RNAcentral